AUGUCUCCCCUGGCGUCCAUGGCGGCGGACUUGGUUGAGCUAAUCGGCUGGCGGGUGCUGGCCGCCGGAGACCUGCUCGACUACAUCCGCUUCCGUGCAGUGUGCGCGCACUCCUGGUCCAGCACUAUCCACCCGCGCGGCCAUGGCAUCACCGACUCGCGCUUUCAUCCGCGUCGCUGGAUGAUGCUGCCGGACGGCCACAGGCUUCACCUUGAAGACGGCAGGAAACGUUUCCUCAACCUCGACACCGGAGUAUUUGUGCGUCCUCGACUUCCUCUUCUGGACGACCACUGCUUCCUCUGCUCGGUCGAAGGCCUCCUCCUCAUGCAGCGGCAACACGGCGACCAAGACGAAGACCCUAUAUGCCUCCUUCACCCCUUCACGGGAGACACCGCAAUGGAUCAACGGCCCGCUUGA
This 417-nucleotide ribosomal RNA is filed under the name Triticum aestivum (bread wheat). Its description in RNAcentral is "partial small subunit ribosomal RNA". Lineage: Eukaryota; Viridiplantae; Streptophyta; Magnoliopsida; Poales; Poaceae. The record is from RNAcentral.